AGCAACGUAGCACAGCUGGAAGUGCGCCGGUCUCAUAAGAAAUUAUGCAGUUGAGCAAUCCGGAGGUCGCCUGAUCGAAACAAGCCGUUGCUA
Mycena haematopus is the source of this 93-nucleotide non-coding RNA. The record is from the annotation of a GenBank genome assembly. Lineage: Eukaryota; Fungi; Basidiomycota; Agaricomycetes; Agaricales; Mycenaceae.